UACGUAGGGGGCUAGCGUUGUCCGGAAUCAUUGGGCGUAAAGAGCGUGUAGGCGGCCCGGUAAGUCCGCUGUGAAAGUCGGGGGCUCAACCCUCGAAUGCCGGUGGAUACUGUCGGGCUGGAGUGCGGAAGAGGCGAGUGGAAUUCCUGGUGUAGCGGUGAAAUGCGCAGAUAUCAGGAGGAACACCAAUUGCGAAGGCAGCUCGCUGGGACGUAACUGACGCUGAGACGCGAAAGCGUGGGGAGCAAACAGG
This 253-nucleotide ribosomal RNA is filed under the name uncultured bacterium. RNAcentral's name for it is "partial 16S ribosomal RNA". It matches the Rfam family "Bacterial small subunit ribosomal RNA", at positions 524 to 776 of the family's 1533-position model. The record is from RNAcentral.